GUGCCCUCUGGACCAAGGAGAUCAAAUUUGGCAAUUCUGAAUUGCUUGAUGAUGCAGAAGGCGUGGGUUUCAUCCCUACGGAGCGCU
Molecule: transfer RNA, 87 nt
Filed under: Fonsecaea multimorphosa
Lineage: Eukaryota; Fungi; Ascomycota; Eurotiomycetes; Chaetothyriales; Herpotrichiellaceae
Description: tRNA-Gln
Source: RNAcentral